RNAcentral lists this microRNA precursor (95 nucleotides) under Selaginella moellendorffii. RNAcentral describes it as "miR1083 stem-loop (smo-MIR1083)". The record is from miRBase by way of RNAcentral. Lineage: Eukaryota; Viridiplantae; Streptophyta; Lycopodiopsida; Selaginellales; Selaginellaceae.
UGGGAGCUCAUAGCCUGGAACGAAGCACGGUUGUGCUUGGUUUCUCGAGCCAUCCAUAAAAUCGCGCUUCGUUUCAUGCUAUGCGCGUCCAUGAU